UGCAAGUCGAACGGAGAAUUUCAAUAAGCUUGCUUAGAGAAAUUUUUAGUGGCGGACGGGUGAGUAACGCGUGGGUAACCUACCCAUAAAGCCGGGACAACCCUUGGAAACGAGGGCUAAUACCGGAUAAUCUUAAGCUUUGGCAUCAAAGUAUAAGGAAAGGUGGCCUCUGAGUAUGCUACCGAUUAUGGAUGGACCCGCGUCUGAUUAGCUAGUUGGUGGGGUAAAGGCCUACCAAGGCGACGAUCAGUAGCCGGCCUGAGAGGGUGAACGGCCACACUGGGACUGAGACACGGCCCAGACUCCUACGGGAGGCAGCAGUGGGGAAUCUUCCGCAAUGGACGAAAGUCUGACGGAGCAACGCCGCGUGUAUGAUGAAGGUCUUCGGAUUGUAAAGUACUGUCUUUGGGGAAGAAUGACUGGUUUGAAAAUAUUGAGCCAGUAUGACGGUACCCAAGGGGGAAGCCCCGGCUAACUACGUGCCAGCAGCCGCGGUAAUACGUAGGGGGCAAGCGUUGUCCGGAAUUAUUGGGCGUAAAGGGCGCGUAGGCGGAUGUUUAAGUCCGGUGUGAAAGAUCAGGGCUCAACCCUGAGAGUGCAUCGGAAACUGGGCAUCUUGAGGACAGGAGAGGAAAGUGGAAUUCCACGUGUAGCGGUGAAAUGCGUAGAUAUGUGGAGG
Molecule: ribosomal RNA, 679 nt
Filed under: uncultured bacterium
Lineage: Bacteria
Description: bacterial SSU rRNA
Rfam family: Bacterial small subunit ribosomal RNA
Source: RNAcentral